UGGAUCGACACCCUGAGGCACCACACUGGCUUCACUGAAGCGCAGCUGAUGUAAGCAUGCACUGAAUCAUCUCCAUUGUAGCUUGAACCUGUGAUUUCAUUCAGUUCAGGGGCACCGACAGAGACAACUCUUUUCUGUGAUGACUGAUUUCAGGGACGCCGCCAAGAUCCUGAUUGGAGGGCAUGGUAUGAAGCCGCGGUUCUUUGGCCAGGAGACAAGGCAAAGAUCUUGUCGCUGGCAUGGACGGUAGGCAAUUGCAGAUUGGUCCGACGAAAGGUAGCCUAACCCCAGCGAGCCUCUUGUUUUGUUCAGAAGAGGAAUUCUGUGUCAUUUCCAUGUGGUCGUUUGGUGCAGGUACAACUUACUUUGCUCCACGUUGCUUAUCGUCAUAGCGGCAUCCAACAUCCAUAGUCAAAUGCUGCCAUAUGUUAGGAAGUUUAUGUUGAUAUAUGUGAUUCUGAUAUGUUCGCCGAAUGCGGAUGUGGGAAAGGUCACAUGAUUGAUAUAUACAAGCCAUAUUGGUAUUAUUUUUAGCAUGCUCUGGAGUGAAAUACAAUAACUACGGAAUGAUGUUUAAAUAAUUUCUGUUUCGGUUCA
Hordeum vulgare subsp. vulgare (domesticated barley) is the source of this 597-nucleotide long non-coding RNA. RefSeq lists it as uncharacterized. The transcript has 2 exons. NCBI's taxonomy places the organism in Eukaryota, Viridiplantae, Streptophyta, Magnoliopsida, Poales, Poaceae. The record is from RefSeq and is a predicted model, not a curated record.